UUUAUGACCCCAACGGCUUGCAAUACCGGCAGUGUUUAAUGGAGAAGAGUUUUUUAUGUUGUUGUUUUUUUAAACAUAAAACAAAAGAACUUAGACCACAGCAGAACUCCAGGGAGGAUGAUUGACAGCUGAACAGAAAUGAUGAACAGACAAGAAGUGAUGAGAUCAGUUCAGUCCACUGAGGGAGGAGUGAGAAUGACAGCACCUGUGCAGGAAGAUUACAGGUUGGAGACAGCUAACAGUCUAAGAUGGACCCCUUACCUGUCCAGGGUCUACCUGUGAACCACGUUGGUUGGUCCUGCUGGUCUCCUCAGACCCCCUCCACCGGCCCAGCUCAGGAUGGAGCUUUUAAAACCCUGGAAAUAAAAAGGACAUAAAAAA
Molecule: long non-coding RNA, 381 nt
Organism: Austrofundulus limnaeus
Lineage: Eukaryota; Metazoa; Chordata; Actinopteri; Cyprinodontiformes; Rivulidae
Exons: 2
Source: RefSeq, a predicted model, not a curated record